UGUCCUGGUUUAUAAAGGUGCUUCAGGACUCCUUGGCUCCUGGCCAAUACCUUAGUGCUUCCUGAAGGGGAAAGAGCCCUCCAAACCAUUCAGUGGGCCAUCCCAGACCAAGGUUUCUGACCCAGACAUUGAAACAGGAGGAGUUCCCUUAUCCCCCUUGCAGGGCAUGUGACAGGGGCAUGGUUCGCUUCUCAGUACCCUGCUGCUCAAACCCCUAGAGGGGGCAUGCAGAUGGGCAGGUCAUGGGGAGCGUUUUUGGGCUCUGACCCCGCAGCAGCAUGUAGAAUUGGGUGUUUACAGCUCCCGAAGCCCCAGUGGGCAUGUGUUACAGUGGUCUCCUUCAGUUUUGCCGUCUGCAGGCGGCUUGUGUUAAUCAGCUCAAUUAGACCCUCUGCCUUAUCACAAAGACAGAUGGCUUUCUGUAUCCCAGGUUCUUGCCCUAGUGUACUGGAAAAAUCAGAUCGCUCAUGGACUUGGAGAAGGAGUGCAAGGUUUUAUUGAGUGGAGGAGGUGGCUCUCAGAUGGAUGGGGAGCCAGAAGGGGGAUGGAGUGGGAAGGUGGUCUUCCCCUAGAGUCGGGCUGCCCAGCAGCCAGACUCUCCUCUGACCGCCCCCGACUGAAUUCUACAUCGCCCUGCUGUCGAAAGCCUGCCAGCAUCUGCUGGUGUCUGUCAGUGUGCUCUUCUGCUUCUCUGCUCCUCUCGACGUCCAGCCACUUGUGUCUGUGCCCACUAGGGUCUUGGGUUUUUUAUGGGCACAGGAUGGGGGGUCAUGGCAGGCCAGAGUAGUCUUGGAAAAUGCAACAUUUGGACAUGAAAACAGGAGUGCCUGUUCUCACUAAGGUCUAUGGGCACAAGCCCGAGGGUGGAGCCCUCGCCAGGGACCCCACCCUUCUCUACCCAGCACUCCCCUGCCUCCCUUCCAUAUCAACAUGAAAGCUGACAUGGGCUCCUGUGCCCCACCUCUGGGCCUGGUUUGGUGACCUCUGCACCAGAGCUGCUAGGGAGGCCCCAUCCCACAUGUUGUUGACUGAACAGCCCUUCCCCAAGGGAACCAACGUCCUCCUGUCCCCAAACCCAUGGAGAAGUGGUGGGUUCCUGGGCCUCUUGUAACUCGACUAAAUAUUUUCCAGGUUACCUAACCAAACUCCUGCAAAACCACACCACCUAUGCCUGUGAUGGGGACUAUUUGAAUCUACAGUGCCCUCGGCAUUCUACGAUAAGUGUCCAAUCGGCAUUUUAUGGGCAAGAUUACCAAAUGUGUAGUUCCCAGAAGCCUGCCUCCCAGAGGGAAGACAGCUUAACCUGUGUGGCAGCCACCACCUUCCAGAAGGUGCUGGACGAAUGCCAGAACCAGCGGGCCUGCCACCUCCUGGUCAAUAGCCGUGUUUUUGGACCUGACCUUUGUCCAGGAAGCAGUAAAUACCUCCUGGUCUCCUUUAAAUGCCAACCUAAUGAAUUAAAAAACAAAACCGUGUGUGAAGACCAGGAGCUGAAACUGCACUGCCAUGAAUCCAAGUUCCUCAACAUCUACUCUGCGACCUACGGCAGGAGGACCCAGGAAAGGGACAUCUGCUCCUCCGAGGCAGAGCGGCUCCCCCCUUUUGAUUGCUUGUCUUACUCAGCUUUGCAAGUCCUAUCCCGAAGGUGCUAUGGGAAGCAGAGAUGCAAAAUCAUCGUCAACAAUCACCAUUUUGGAAGCCCCUGUUUGCCAGGCGUGAAAAAAUACCUCACUGUGACCUACGCAUGUGUUCCCAAGAACAUACUCACAGCGAUUGAUCCAGCCAUUGCUAAUCUAAAACCUUCUUUGAAGCAGAAAGAUGGUGAAUAUGGUAUAAACUUCGACCCAAGCGGAUCGAAGGUUCUGAGGAAAGAUGGAAUUCUUGUUAGCAACUCUCUGGCAGCCUUUGCUUACAUUAGAGCCCACCCGGAGAGAGCUGCCCUGCUGUUCGUGUCCAGUGUCUGCAUCGGCCUGGCCCUCACAUUGUGCGCCCUGGUCAUCAGAGAGUCCUGUGCCAAGGACUUCCGCGAGUUGCAGCUGGGGAGGGAGCAGCUGGUGCCAGGAAGUGACAAGGUCGAGGAGGACAGCGAGGAUGAAGAAGAGGAGGAGGACUCCUCUGAGUCUGACUUCCCAGGGGAACUGUCGGGGUUCUGUAGGACUUCAUAUCCUGUCUACAGUUCCAUAGAAGCUGCAGAGCUCGCAGAAAGGAUUGAGCGCAGGGAGCAAAUCAUUCAGGAAAUAUGGAUGAACAGUGGUUUGGACACCUCACUCCCGAGAAACAUGGGCCAGUUCUACUGAAAACCACAUGCAUCUUGAUGCAAUCGCACUUUCUGAAGAAGGAAGGAUCCCAAAUGCCCCUCCAGUUCUGGUUCACCUGUACCUUCUAUGAAGGAGAAUUCGUCAUGUCAUUCAACACUCGUGAGGCCAGGAAGCUAUUAAAGGGAUGUUUCAAGCUUUCUAGCACAUUCCAAAAUAAAUAAGGAGGGAAGAGUCUU
This 2494-nucleotide small RNA is filed under the name Pongo abelii (Sumatran orangutan). RNAcentral's name for it is "retained intron". The record is from RNAcentral. Lineage: Eukaryota; Metazoa; Chordata; Mammalia; Primates; Hominidae.